Molecule: long non-coding RNA, 1065 nt
Organism: Rattus norvegicus (Norway rat)
Lineage: Eukaryota; Metazoa; Chordata; Mammalia; Rodentia; Muridae
Source: RefSeq, a predicted model, not a curated record
GUGAUGGAGCUUGCGCAGUAGAUCAGUGGCUUCCUGGCUUCGGCGUCCCUCUCGCUUCUAAGGGCGCACUUGUUGCAGGGCUGUACUUUAAGGAGAGUUUUUUGUUUUUAAUGUUAUAACUGUCUGAAUCUAUGCCCUAGCCUAUCACUGUUUAAUAGAGAUAAUUCAGUUUAACUAGCCAAAAAGGAAUAAACCAAAGCUUUUCUACGACGCUUAAUAAAAGACUGCAGAGUCAGCCUGCUCGGAGGUUAAGGAUAGUGCGUUAGCAAAGGGUGCCGAAGUGGAAUUUUCCGAGACUGUUUCGAAUAUUUUUCUUUCUAAUCCAGACUUUUGCCACAACGGAAAUUGUACCAAACAAACAAUCUUUCAAAGAUGAAGGAUCAUCUAGCUUACUCCUUGCGACCGCAUGGUUCUAUAGGACACGCUGUUUAAUACUAAAUAGAAUCGAUGGGGAUCUCCUGGAAGACCUUGAAGAGUAAGACAGUGGUCCCUUGCAGGUCGCAGGUGAUUGGGAGACCGUGAUGGAUAUAAAGCUCUCACAACAGGAAAGUGCAAGUGUGUACAAGCAAAGCUGCUCCUUAUUCUGCCUGAUGUGGCCUGAAAGAAAGAGUCAGGGGUCUGAAAAUUCUGAUUUUUCAAAUAACUUCAGUUACAAAAAUCCCCAGGCUUCCUCGUGGCCGCCAUCUUUGCUUGUAAGGUAGCUUCUUUUCACACUCUUGUGCACCAGGGAUCUUGUAGAACUGGGAUGUGGUCCAGAAAUCAGCAAAUCAAGAACUCAUAAAUUCAACAAGGCACAGUUCAUACUGCCAGAAAAUGACACAAUGGUAAAACAGCAAAGAAGGACCAGUUUGAGUGCCAUCGUGGAUUGGAGCGAGCAGGCAUUUUAAUCUUGAAGAAAUUUCCCAGUGGAAACGAAAGUGUUUUCUAUUCUUUCUGGAAACAUCUGAUCUGUCAUUGGUUUAUCAGAGUGAGACAUUUUUAUUCACUAUCAAUUGAGAUAAUGUUCCAACUGUGUUUGAUUUUAAUUUUAAAAGCUGUAUUUCUCAAUACUGUGGAAAUUUGAAA